RNAcentral lists this ribosomal RNA (508 nucleotides) under uncultured bacterium. RNAcentral describes it as "partial 16S ribosomal RNA". It matches the Rfam family "Bacterial small subunit ribosomal RNA", at positions 29 to 523 of the family's 1533-position model. The record is from RNAcentral.
AUUGAACGCUGGCGGCAGGCCUAACACAUGCAAGUCGAGCGGCAGCGGGAAAGUAGCUUGCUACUUUUGCCGGCGAGCGGCGGACGGGUGAGUAAUGCCUGGGGAUCUGCCCAGUCGAGGGGGAUAACUACUGGAAACGGUAGCUAAUACCGCAUACGCCCUACGGGGGAAAGCAGGGGACCUUCGGGCCUUGCGCGAUUGGAUGAACCCAGGUGGGAUUAGCUAGUUGGUGAGGUAAUGGCUCACCAAGGCGACGAUCCCUAGCUGGUCUGAGAGGAUGAUCAGCCACACUGGAACUGAGACACGGUCCAGACGCCUACGGGAGGCAGCAGUGGGGAAUAUUGCACAAUGGGGGAAACCCUGAUGCAGCCAUGCCGCGUGUGUGAAGAAGGCCUUCGGGUUGUAAAGCACUUUCAGCGAGGAGGAAAGGUUGGUAGCUAAUAACUGCCAGCUGUGACGUUACUCGCAGAAGAAGCACCGGCUAACUCCGUGCCAGCCGCCGCCGUAA